CAUCGUGAGUUGGAAUCUGAAAGAAGCCGGCGGCAAACAUCUGACCUAACGAACAGAAACUUCAUACAAGGCAUAUGACCGUGGGUAAGGUUGCUACACAAACCAAAGCCCGAUAGCUAUUCGGAUCGGUCGGUGGAGUUUCCUUGAGCUUGCGAAAAAAUGAAGUGGGUG
RNAcentral lists this non-coding RNA (171 nucleotides) under uncultured Prevotella sp. The record is from RNAcentral. Lineage: Bacteria; Pseudomonadati; Bacteroidota; Bacteroidia; Bacteroidales; Prevotellaceae.